UGUUGACAUGCUCUACUUCCAUCCUGCCUUGGAUGAAGCGGAGAACGAUACUGCAAAGGUUGGUGGCUGUUUUGGUGGUUAGAACGAACUUUAGGUUCUCUUGGCCUCUCAUUACUUGCUUCAAUCCUUUCCAAUGUCUCUACAACUUCUUUCAUAGAUGGUCGAUGCUUGGGUUCAGAUUCAAUACAAUUUACAGCAAGCUGAGCAAUUCGGAAUGCUGCUUUUGAAGGAUAUUUCCCCUCUAACCGAGAGUCCAUAAUGCUCUUCAGCUUUCUUUUAUCAUAUAAAUAUGGUUUGAUCCAGUCAACCAGAUUAUGUCUCCCACUUGGACGGUUUGUAUCAAGUGCCCGCAAGGCAGUCAAAAUCUCGACUAGGACAACCCCAAAACCGUACACAUCACUUUUCACA
Molecule: unclassified non-coding RNA, 408 nt
Filed under: Hevea brasiliensis (rubber tree)
Lineage: Eukaryota; Viridiplantae; Streptophyta; Magnoliopsida; Malpighiales; Euphorbiaceae
Source: RNAcentral